AUACCCUUAGGGUUUCUUAGUGGUUUAAGGUUGGGAAAAUUAUCUUGGCUCCAUUAUGUAGUGCAUGAGCUCACGAGUUCAUAGACAUGUAUUGGGCCCAAAUUAGAAUUGAAACAAGAAAGUUACGACAAAAGAAGUGUAAGGAAACUAUCAUAAUUUUUGCAAGUAAAGUGUUAAAAAGUCAAAUUUUUCCUUCUCUUCCCUCAUUUCUCUCUCUCUCUCUCUCUCUCUCUCUCUCUCUCUCUCUCUCUCUCCUUCUCGACAGUCACUAUGCAAACAAUAACUGUUCGUCUUCUCCGACAAAUUUUUUCAUUGUCCGGUCAUUCCAAGCUACGCCACCACCCACAAAAUCUUCGUCUAAGUAUACUCUACCUAACCCAUCCCUCAAUUGAACUCAAAAACCCCAAGAAUAGCCUAAUUUUGGACUGAAAUCAACCCAAAAACCUCCACUCGAUGCCAGCCAGUUUCUGGGAUUUUCGGGCUACUCUGGCCACCGAUUUUGUCGAACAAGGCCACUCUGGCCACUAUUUGGCUGGGGUCCAAGAACUAAAAACACUCCUUCAAUUGUGCUUGACCGGUUGGUAUAAAAAUUGAUCAGUGAUUUGGAGAUUUUCCGGUUGGCAGAAAUCUCUCAUGCCACCCACCGUCGGCGGCGUGUCAGCCAGGUGUCGACGAACUAUUAUCACCCUAAAAUUAACCCCUCGUCAUCUUGAGCAUGACGAUGUGCUCGGAUCAGCAACAUUCGAUCAGCACUCAGACUUCAUGUGCUCAAUCGGAAGGACCUUCGAAGGGUCAAGCAAGCUUGCAUUCACAAGAUGGAUCGAAGAAAGCUUUUGUUGAUAUUACUGAUGGAGAUGUGGUAUUUAGAGACAAUGUGUGGUCGCACAAUCCUUGUGCUUAUGAUGUUCAAAAUGAAGAGAAAUCAACGGCUUAUAGAAAGAUGAGACCUUAAUAAUCAUUCCUUUGUUAGACAUGAGACGCGGUUGCAUUAUCUAAAUAGUAUAUUGGAGAAUGAUGUAGUGUGUGUGAGCAAAUUAAUAAUGGAUUUAUGGACGUUUGGUAUAUUAUGUGCGUUGCUUGACGCUAAUGGAAGGGUUAAAAAUGAUGGUUUGGUGACUUUGGAGGAACAAGUGUGUAUAUUCUUACAUGUACUUGCACAUCAUGUGAAGAAUCGUACUAUUAGAAGUAAAUUUAUUCGAUCGGGUGAGACCAUUAGUAGGUACUUCAACUCUGUGUUGCAAGGAAUUUUAAGAUUGCAAGAUAGCCUAUUGAGAGUGCUGGAACCUGUGGGUGAGAGUUGCACAGAGUAUAGAUGGAAAUGUUUUAAGGUAUGUUUAUUAUGUAUUGGAAAUUUGGAGAAAUUCUAGUAAGUUGUUUUGUCUUCUUUUGAAAUUUUUAGAAUUUAAUUAAAGGUAACCUUUCUUUUAAUAGAAUUUCUUGGGAGCUCUAGAUGGAACUUACAUUAAAGUUUGUGUGCCUGAAACUGAUAAACCGAGAUAUCAAACUAGGAAGGGUGAAAUUGCAACAAAUGUGUUGGCUGUUUGCUCACGCGACACGUAGUUUAUAUUUGUAUUGCUAGGUUGGGAGGGAUCUGCAUAUGACUCUCAAGUCCUUUGUGAUGCCAUAACUAGGCCAAAUUGGUUAAAAGUUCCCACGAGUAAGGCCAUUAGUAAGUAUUCACUUUAUGUGCACUUUUGAAUUAUAUUUAUAUGCCAACACUAAUAGGAAUUGUCAAUUUUUGGUUAUUAGGUUAUUAUUAUCUGGUAGAUGGUGGUUACAUAAAUGAUAAGGAAUUUCUUGCACCAUAUAGAGGAAUAAGUUGUCAUAUAUCUAAAUGGAGAGGUGGAUAUACAGCUGCAAAUCAUCAAGAAUAUUUUAAUAUGAGGCAUUCAAAAGCAAUAAAUUAAUAGAACAAUGUUUUGGGCUGUUGAAAGUUAGGUGGGGCAUGCUAAGGAGUCCGUCUUUUUACCCUAUAGCGACACAAUGUCGGAUAAUUAUAGCUGCUUGUCUUUUACAUAAUCUCAUUAGGAGGGAGAUGUCCAUGGAUCCAAUUGAGCACGAAGUGAAUAAAAUUAAUGAGGCAAAAAAUAUGAUAGAAGGCGAUACAAUUGGCACUGUCGAAGCAUCCAAUUAAUGGACUGCAUGGAGGGAUGACUUGGCCUUGCAACUAUAUAAUGAGUGGAGGGCAACUAGGAAUAACUAGGCAAUUUGUGGUUUCUGUUUCAAAUUGCAGUUUAUGAAUAGCUAGCCAAUUUGUGAAUUCUAUUUCAAUUUGUAUUUGUGUAAUACCUCGAAAAAUUCAAGGUGGAUUUUCAUAUUUUAGUGAAAAAUAAUAUUAUGGUGGAGAAUGAUUAUGGGUAUUUUAUGAAAUGAUUUUGGAUUGAAAUUAUUAAAUUAAGUGUGUUUAAUUUGAAGUUGGACAAACAUGACCAAAAUACCCUUAUGUGUGGAUAAUUACCAAAAUAUCCUUGAAAGCUCAAAAAAAAAAAGAGAAGAAGAAUCUGAAACGUGGAGGGAAUCAAACCAUCCUCCUCCCACUCUUCCCCCAUUGCCUCAUUUCAAAGCUUCCAUUAUGAAGGGAUGAGGAUGAGUCACCUAGUCUAAUUGGUGAGUCACCUAGCCUAAGGGAUUUUUCUUGAUGAAGCUAAGAACUAGGGGAGGUGAGUUGUUGGCAGGAGAGAGAGAGAGAGAGAGAGAGAGAGAGAGAGGAGAA
This is an RNA transcript of Prunus persica (peach), 2713 nucleotides long. RefSeq lists it as uncharacterized. The transcript has 4 exons. NCBI's taxonomy places the organism in Eukaryota, Viridiplantae, Streptophyta, Magnoliopsida, Rosales, Rosaceae. The record is from RefSeq and is a predicted model, not a curated record.